This 492-nucleotide ribosomal RNA is filed under the name uncultured bacterium. Its description in RNAcentral is "partial 16S ribosomal RNA". It matches the Rfam family "Bacterial small subunit ribosomal RNA", at positions 28 to 505 of the family's 1533-position model. The record is from RNAcentral.
GACGAACGCUGGCGGCGUGCUUAACACAUGCAAGUCGAACGGUGAAGCGCCUUCCUUUUUGGUGGGUGUGGAUGAGUGGCGAACGGGUGAGUAACACGUGAGUAACCUGCCCCCUUCUUCUGGAUAACCGCAUGAAAGUGUGGCUAAUACGGGAUAUUCUGGGUCUGUCGCAUGAUGGGUCUGGGAAAGAUAUUGUUUCGGUGGGGGAUGGGCUCGCGGCCUAUCAGCUUGUUGGUGGGGUGAUGGCCUACCAAGGCGGUGACGGGUAGCCGGCCUGAUAGGGUGGACGGUCACACUGGGACUGAGACACGGCCCAGACUCCUACGGGAGGCAGCAGUGGGGAAUAUUGCACAAUGGGCGCAAGCCUGAUGCAGCGACGCCGCGUGAGGGAUGGAGGCCUUCGGGUUGUGAACCUCUUUCGCCAGUGAAGCAGGCCUGCCUCGUUUGUGGGUGGGUUGACGGUAGCUGGAUAAGAAGCGCCGGCUAACUACG